GGGGAGAUACUCAAGCGGCCAACGAGGGCAGACUGUAAAUCUGCUGACCCAGUCUUCGCAGGUUCGAAUCCUGCUCUCCCCA
Molecule: transfer RNA, 82 nt
Filed under: Altibacter sp.
Lineage: Bacteria; Pseudomonadati; Bacteroidota; Flavobacteriia; Flavobacteriales; Flavobacteriaceae
Description: tRNA-Tyr
Rfam family: tRNA
About the family: Transfer RNA (tRNA) molecules are approximately 80 nucleotides in length. Their secondary structure includes four short double-helical elements and three loops (D, anti-codon, and T loops).
Source: RNAcentral